UAGGGAAUCUUCCGCAAUGGACGCAAGUCUGACGGAGCAACGCCGCGUGAGUGAAGAAGGAUUUCGGUUCGUAAAACUCUGUUGUUAGAGAAGAACAGCGCAUAGAGUAACUGUUAUGCGUGUGACGGUAUCUAACCAGAAAGCCACGGCUAACUACGUGCCAGCAGCCGCGGUAAUACGUAGGUGGCAAGCGUUGUCCGGAUUUAUUGGGCGUAAAGCGAGCGCAGGCGGUCAAUUAAGUCUGAUGUGAAAGCCCCCGGCUCAACCGGGGAGGGUCAUUGGAAACUGGUUGACUUGAGUGCAGAAGAGGAGAGUGGAAGUCCAUGUGUAGCGGUGAAAUGCGUAGUUAUAUGGAGGAACACCAGUGGCGAAGGCGACUCUCUGGUCUGUAACUGACGCUGAGGCUCGAAAGCGUGGGUAGCAAACAGG
This 429-nucleotide ribosomal RNA is filed under the name Bacteroidota bacterium. Its description in RNAcentral is "Bacteroidetes bacterium partial 16S ribosomal RNA". It matches the Rfam family "Bacterial small subunit ribosomal RNA", at positions 355 to 776 of the family's 1533-position model. The record is from RNAcentral. Lineage: Bacteria; Pseudomonadati; Bacteroidota.